Molecule: long non-coding RNA, 226 nt
Filed under: Musa acuminata (dwarf banana)
Lineage: Eukaryota; Viridiplantae; Streptophyta; Magnoliopsida; Zingiberales; Musaceae
Description: long non-coding RNA (MACU_LNC009200)
Source: RNAcentral
AAAGCUAUCUUGCAUUUGCUUUCGAAAUUUUUGCUAGCUUGUGCAUUGAAAAUGAAAGUAAACUUCCUAGCAUGCUAAGGAAGUAAAACUUGCAAGCUUGCACUUCUCAAAAAGAGAAGAAAGAUCUUGCCUAUCGAAAGAAGCAAAAAGUGCAAAACUUCGAAAACUUGCAACAAAAUUGCUCUUGCCAUGCUUUGUAUCAAAAAUAGGUUGAUAUCCUUAAAAG